RNAcentral lists this unclassified non-coding RNA (243 nucleotides) under Hevea brasiliensis (rubber tree). The record is from RNAcentral. Lineage: Eukaryota; Viridiplantae; Streptophyta; Magnoliopsida; Malpighiales; Euphorbiaceae.
CUGGGGAAAUUUAGAGAGUUUAACUUUCUGAAUGCCAUUAAAUCCAUCCAUUUCCAUAUACAACUGUUGUAUGGUGGCAUUGAGGUUGCCCUCCCAAAGCCAAUUCUCAAAAUGAUUUUUUGUCAAUUGUAUACACUGCAGCUUUCAAAUCAGGGCGGUCUUUUGAAUGAAUAUCUUCAGUGCCAACGACUAGUAACUCUAAUUCUGGGUACUCUAAUCGUUCAGGAAGCUCAUGGAUUUCAC